CUUUGCAAAUGCCCCUUGCAUUUAUUUGUUUAUAUGAAGACUCACUGAAUCGAAGAUCCACGAAGGCCUGCAGUCUGCGUGUUUGAUCCCCAGUGACUAAGGUCCAUGUGCGGGCUCACUGAGGCAUAGCGCUGAUUGAGAGUUGAAAUGUUUAUUUAAAACAGAAAUGCCAAACCACUCCACCCUCAACCUUUCAAACAUCUGGCUAACAAUAAGCUAAUUCUUCAGCAACAACGUCAGAGCAAAGGAGUAACUCAGGUUAUACUAUAAUGCAAAAGCAAUACUACUGGAAAACUUAAAACACCUAGCACUACAUAAAGAAGAAAAGUAGGACACAAUUUAAAAUUAGCUACAGAAAACCAGUUAAAGGCAUUUCUGCUGCCUCACCUUUCACUUCUUAUCUGAUGUGUGGCUGCCACCUAUGAACUGGUUUCUGUUUGCAUAGCUUUCUGGUGGGAAAAAUCAUAUGGCUGUCCCAGGCACAAUUUGGGAAAGUGCAAAUUGUCUCUAAGGCACAGAACUUAGAUUCUC
Molecule: long non-coding RNA, 531 nt
Filed under: Bos taurus (domestic cattle)
Lineage: Eukaryota; Metazoa; Chordata; Mammalia; Artiodactyla; Bovidae
Description: long non-coding RNA NONBTAT002812
Source: RNAcentral